This 274-nucleotide ribosomal RNA is filed under the name uncultured bacterium. RNAcentral describes it as "partial 16S ribosomal RNA". It matches the Rfam family "Bacterial small subunit ribosomal RNA", at positions 523 to 796 of the family's 1533-position model. The record is from RNAcentral.
AUACGGAGGGGGCUAGCGUUGUUCGGAAUUACUGGGCGUAAAGCGUACGUAGGCGGACUGGAAAGUUGGGGGUGAAAUCCCGGGGCUCAACCCCGGAACUGCCUCCAAAACUUCCAAUCUAGAGAUCGAGAGAGGUGAGUGGAAUUCCAAGUGUAGAGGUGAAAUUCAUAGAUAUUUGGAGGAACACCAGUGGCGAAGGCGGCUCACUGGCUCGAUACUGACGCUGAGGUACGAAAGCGUGGGGAGCAAACAGGAUUAGAAACCCUAGUAGUCC